GGGGAUUUAGCUCAGUGGUAGAGCACUUGCCUAGUAAGCAUGAGGUCCUCAGUUUGGUCCUCA
RNAcentral lists this transfer RNA (63 nucleotides) under Heterocephalus glaber (naked mole-rat). It matches the Rfam family "tRNA". From Rfam's summary of the family: Transfer RNA (tRNA) molecules are approximately 80 nucleotides in length. Their secondary structure includes four short double-helical elements and three loops (D, anti-codon, and T loops). Further hydrogen bonds mediate the characteristic L-shaped molecular structure. tRNAs have two regions of fundamental functional importance: the anti-codon, which is responsible for specific mRNA codon recognition, and the 3' end, to which the tRNAs corresponding amino acid is attached (by aminoacyl-tRNA synthetases). tRNAs cope with the degeneracy of the genetic code in two manners: having more than one tRNA (with a specific anti-codon) for a particular amino acid; and 'wobble' base-pairing, i.e. permitting non-standard base-pairing at the 3rd anti-codon position. Lineage: Eukaryota; Metazoa; Chordata; Mammalia; Rodentia; Bathyergidae. The record is from Rfam by way of RNAcentral.